Non-coding RNA from Podarcis lilfordi (Lilford's wall lizard), 65 nucleotides. NCBI's taxonomy places the organism in Eukaryota, Metazoa, Chordata, Lepidosauria, Squamata, Lacertidae. The record is from the annotation of a GenBank genome assembly.
UAUAUAUAUAUGUGUGUGUGUGUGUGUGUGUGCGCGCGCACACACACACACACACACACUUUAUG